GGCAUGAUGGCUCAACCGUUAGAGCACUGCACUGAUAUCACAGAGGUUAGGGUUCAAAAUCACUUUCAUGUCU
Molecule: transfer RNA, 73 nt
Filed under: Acropora cervicornis
Lineage: Eukaryota; Metazoa; Cnidaria; Anthozoa; Scleractinia; Acroporidae
Description: tRNA-Ile
Rfam family: tRNA
About the family: Transfer RNA (tRNA) molecules are approximately 80 nucleotides in length.
Source: RNAcentral